UACGUAGGGGGCUAGCGUUAUCCGGAAUUACUGGGCGUAAAGGGUGCGUAGGUGGUUUCUUAAGUCAGAGGUGAAAGGCUACGGCUCAACCGUAGUAGGCCUUUGAAACUGGGAAACUUGAGUGCAGGAGAGGAGAGUGGAAUUCCUAGUGUAGCGGUGAAAUGCGUAGAUAUUAGGAGGAACACCAGUUGCGAAGGCGGCUCUCUGGACUGUAACUGACACUGAGGCACGAAAGCGUGGGGAGCAAACAGGAUUAGAUACCCUGGUAGUCCCUGA
This 276-nucleotide ribosomal RNA is filed under the name uncultured prokaryote. RNAcentral's name for it is "partial 16S ribosomal RNA". It matches the Rfam family "Bacterial small subunit ribosomal RNA", at positions 524 to 800 of the family's 1533-position model. The record is from RNAcentral.